GAUGAAGAACGCAGCAAAAUGCGAUAAGUAAUGUGAAUUGCAGAAUUCAGUGAAUCAUCGAAUCUUUGAACGCACAUUGCGCCCGCCAGUAUUCUGGCGGGCAUGCCUGUUCGAGCGUCAUUUCAACCCUCAAGCACAGCUUGGUGUUGGGACUCGCGUUAAUUCGCGUUCCCCAAAUUGAUUGGCGGUCACGUCGAGCUUCCAUAGCGUAGUAGUAAACCCCUCGUUACUGGUAAUCGUCGCGGCCACGCCGUUAAACCCCAACUUCUGAAUGUUGACCUCGGAUCAGGUAGGAAUACCCGCUGAACUUAAGCAUAUCAAUAAGCGGAGGA
This 332-nucleotide unclassified non-coding RNA is filed under the name soil metagenome. RNAcentral's name for it is "partial contains 5.8S ribosomal RNA, internal transcribed spacer 2, and large subunit ribosomal RNA". The stretch from base 1 to 120 matches the Rfam family "5.8S ribosomal RNA", at positions 35 to 154 of the family's 154-position model. The record is from RNAcentral.